GACGAACGCUGGCGGCGUGCUUAACACAUGCAAGUCGAACGGAGAGGCCCUGCUUGCAGGGUGCUCGAGUGGCGAACGGGUGAGUAACACGUGGGUGAUCUGCCCCUUAUUUUGGGAUAAGCCUGGGAAACUGGGUCUAAUACUGGAUAGGACCAUGCUGUAGGUGGUGUGGUGGAAAGAUUAGUUUCGGUAAGGGAUGAGCUCGCGGCCUAUCAGCUUGUUGGUGGGGUAAUGGCCUACCAAGGCGUCGACGGGUAGCCGGCCUGAGAGGGUGGACGGCCACAUUGGGACUGAGAUACGGCCCAGACUCCUACGGGAGGCAGCAGUGGGGAAUAUUGCACAAUGGGCGCAAGCCUGAUGCAGCGACGCCGCGUGGGGGAUGACGGCCUUCGGGUUGUAAACUCCUUUCAGCCAUGACGAAGCCCUUGUGGUGACGGUAGUGGUAGAAGAAGCACCGGCUAACUACGUG
RNAcentral lists this ribosomal RNA (469 nucleotides) under uncultured bacterium. RNAcentral's name for it is "partial 16S ribosomal RNA". It matches the Rfam family "Bacterial small subunit ribosomal RNA", at positions 28 to 507 of the family's 1533-position model. The record is from RNAcentral.